CACGUAUUUAGCCGUCCCUUUCUGAUAAGAUACCGUCACUCAAUGAGCAGUUACUCUCACUGACGUUCUUCUCUUAUAACAGUGUUUUACGAGCCGAAACCCUUCAUCACACACGCGGCGUUGCUCCAUCAGACUUUCGUCCAUUGUGGAAGAUUCCCUACUGCUGCCUCCCGUAGGAGUUUGGACCGUGUCUCAGUUCCAAUGUGGCCGAUCAGUCUCUCAACUCGGCUAUGUAUCAUCGCCAUGGUGAGCCAUUACCUCACCAUCUAGCUAAUACACCGCGGGACCAUCUCUUAGUGAUAGCAGAACCAUCUUUUAAACUUUUAUCAUGCGAUAAAAGUUGUUAUACGGUAUUAGCAUCUGUUUCCAAAUGUUAUCCCCUGCUAAGAGGUAGGUUUCCCACGUGUUACUCACCCGUUCGCCACUCGCUGCAUUGCAAUUAAAUUGAAGCAAGCUUCUCAAUAAUUGCCACAGCGCGUUCG
RNAcentral lists this ribosomal RNA (482 nucleotides) under uncultured Weissella sp. RNAcentral's name for it is "partial 16S ribosomal RNA". Lineage: Bacteria; Bacillati; Bacillota; Bacilli; Lactobacillales; Lactobacillaceae. The record is from RNAcentral.